GGCAGGGGCUGCCCGGGGGGCUCUCUAGGCAGGUCCAGGGAUGCUAUCUCCCCUCCCCCCAUUCAAAGAGCUCAGUUCCAGAGAAUGGAGACCCCGAAGGACACAAGGGGACCACAGGGGGACAAGAGCCCAGGGGGACUGUUAGGUUAGGACUCAUGACCAGCCCUGGAGCAUGGGCGUGUGUGCAGGUGCAGGUGUGUGCACGUGUGUGUGUGUGUGUGAUAUGGUCUGUGCAGGGAUGGGGUGUGCACAUGUGGGUGGUCCUCACCUGAAUCUCUGGGCAGUGAUCACCUGGGUCUUUCCAUGGUGUGUCUUGCGACUUGCGACUUCCAUGGACGUGAGCAGACACCCCAAAGCUGGGGCUCCUUAGGUGUUCAAAGCACUCAUUCAAACAAAGCUGAGCUGCUGUGCCGGCGCUGGGCUUCUCCAGCUGCUGGUGUGCACAGGGAUGCGGGUCCACCCUGCAGCCCUGGGUCUGGGGACGUCUGUGAGCUG
RNAcentral lists this long non-coding RNA (495 nucleotides) under Marmota monax (woodchuck). Lineage: Eukaryota; Metazoa; Chordata; Mammalia; Rodentia; Sciuridae. The record is from RNAcentral.